CACGUAGGGGGCAAGCGUUGUCCGGAUUUAUUGGGCGUAAAGAGCUCGUAGGUGGUUCGGUAAGUCGGGUGUUAAACCCCCAGGCUCAACCUGGGGACGCCACUCGAUACUGCUGUGACUAGAGUCCGGUAGGGGAGCGUGGAAUUCCUGGUGUAGCGGUGAAAUGCGCAGAUAUCAGGAGGAACACCGGUGGCGAAGGCGGGUCUCUGGGCUGACACUGACGCUCAUGCACGAAAGCGUGGGGAGCAAACAGG
RNAcentral lists this ribosomal RNA (254 nucleotides) under uncultured bacterium. RNAcentral describes it as "partial 16S ribosomal RNA". It matches the Rfam family "Bacterial small subunit ribosomal RNA", at positions 524 to 776 of the family's 1533-position model. The record is from RNAcentral.